AUACAGAGGGUGCGAGCGUUAAUCGGAAUUACUGGGCGUAAAGCGCGCGUAGGCGGCUUAUUAAGUCAGAUGUGAAAUCCCCGGGCUCAACCUGGGAACUGCAUCUGAUACUGGUAAGCUAGAGUUUUGGAGAGGGAAGUAGAAUUUCAGGUGUAGCGGUGAAAUGCAUAGAGAUCUGAAGGAAUACCAGUGGCGAAGGCGACUUCCUGGCCAAAAACUGACGCUGAGGUGCGAAAGCGUGGGUAGCAAACAGGAUUAGAAACCCGAGUAGUCC
Molecule: ribosomal RNA, 274 nt
Filed under: uncultured bacterium
Lineage: Bacteria
Description: partial 16S ribosomal RNA
Rfam family: Bacterial small subunit ribosomal RNA
Source: RNAcentral